Molecule: RNA transcript, 665 nt
Organism: Capsicum annuum
Lineage: Eukaryota; Viridiplantae; Streptophyta; Magnoliopsida; Solanales; Solanaceae
Exons: 3
Source: RefSeq, a predicted model, not a curated record
AUUUGUUCAUCUAAGUUUACUUAAUAUGAAUAUUUUUGGUCUUCGUUUCAUACAUAUCCAAAAUAUUCCAUCUGCUAGACUAGGCGAGAUAUUGGAAAUAAGAGAUUUAGCAAAAACGCACAUUCGGAGCAAAAGGUGAUUAUCAAAUUAUUCAUUGACAGGAAUGAUCAAAGAUCUAGGACCAAAGCCUUCAAGAUUGCUGUUUCUCAACCAGGUGUGGAUUCAGCAGCUAUAAAGGAAGGUGAAAGUUACGAAUUAGAAGUUGUUGGAGAGCAUAUUGACGCAGUAAUUCUUACCAACUGCCUCAGGAAGAAAUUGGGCCACGUCGAAUUGAUAAGCGUUGGCCCUAUUGACGACGACAACGACAACGACAACGACAAUACCGUUAGCACAAACUCCGAUGCAAAUCCUCAACCCAAUAUAUAUAGUUAUUUCCCCGAUUUUGGCGCACCACAAUACCAAGUUUACGAAGUUAGAGAUCCAAAUCCAGAAUGUUGCUCCAUUAUGUGAAUGCUAAUUAAUUAAUUAGUUGAAUUAUCUUACAUUUAUAAAAUCAUCAGUAUACUGUAUAUUCCUUUGAAUUAUUAGAGUUUUAUUGAGGUGAAUCAAUUAAUUUAAUGUAUGAUUACUGGGUUUUAUAUGAUAUAAUAUUGAAAUCUUUUAUC